Molecule: long non-coding RNA, 1221 nt
Filed under: Cricetulus griseus (Chinese hamster)
Lineage: Eukaryota; Metazoa; Chordata; Mammalia; Rodentia; Cricetidae
Description: lncRNA (ENSCGRG00015032475.1)
Source: RNAcentral
UGCAUGCAUACAAAGCACCAUAUACAUUAAAUAAAUAUUUUAUAUAUAUAUUUGCAUGCCUGGUGCCUGCAGAGGUCAAAGAGGGUAGCUGAUCCCAGGAACUGGAGUUACGGAUGGUUGUGAGCCCAGGUGUGGAUUUUAGGAACCAAACCUGGGUCCUCAGCAAGAGCAGCAAGUGCUUAUCUUGGUGUCAUCAAUCCAGCUCCCUACAUGUAGUCUUGUAAGAUUGAACAGUCAAGUUCCAGGACCUGUAGGGAGCCGGUUCCUGCAUUCUCCAUUACAAUAAUGGUGCCUGAAGACACCAAGAUGUAAAUUACUUCACAGGCGCUGGGUAAUCUCCAUUCCUUUGAUCUCUGCCUAUCCCGUGGCUCAUUUGGCCUGAGGAGCUGAAGCCAUUCAUAGGGUAACACGUCCCAGGCGGCUGCUUGCCAGCCUUUAUUAGGGAUGGGUUUCUUGGUUCAGAGUCUCCGCUCUGGUAAGCUUAUGCUCUCUCCAACUCUCAAGAUGCAUUAAAGCUUGUCUGCAGAAGGAUCCGAGUGUCCUGCGUGUAUUUCUUGCCAGCGAGAAAAUACAGCGCGCGGGACAUAUGGUGCCGAAACCCGGGAACAUGUGAACAUCUCCGGCACUGCGGAAACCCCUCUAACGGGGCGGUUUCAGAACUGCAGGGUGGUAAAUUCGGAGAGGAUGAAGAAAAUCCCCUGUAGAUCCCAGAAAGACUCAACCCGAAGAGCCCCUUUGGACCUUCAAAAGUCAAAACUCCACCCUCUCCCCGGGAGUUGAGAGCCGCUAUUGUUAUCCAGAUUAACUCCUGUCCUUGACGGAGAGAAAGGGGUGGGGGUGGGAUUGUUUGAUGCAGCCGUUUGAGGAUUGGUGUUACUUCUGGCUGGUCUAUAAGCUCUAGGCUCAAAACUAAAGAGAGAUCGCCCAAGCACUUCCACUGAUAUUUGGCUAACAAUGCUUAAGCAAUAGGCCGCCGGCCAGACAGCUCUUGCACACCCGGAGCCUAGGCUCAUUGCACAGGGUAGAGUGUCUGGUUUGAGCAGCCCAAUGAGGGUGUUGAGCAAAGGCAUCGCACAGAGUUGCCUAGUAUGCAGGCUUCUCUGAGAGGUACGUUGACCUGCAUAAGGGUUACCUGCCCGAGUCUCCCUUUCCCAGAAAAACGGCAGAGGACAGGUCGAGAGUGCUUCGGGUCAAGCUAACAGCCUGAUGGCGACUCUCGUA